GUGAAUCAUCGAAUUUUUGAACGCAAAUUGCACUCUCCUCGGAGAGUAUGCCUGUUUGAGGGUCAGCCUAUAAAAAAUCGACAUCGUUGCUGUUUCGCGGUGACGUUUGUCGGAAAUUGGGUCAUCUUAAAUCCUUUUGGUUUUAAGCGACUUAAAAUUUCCUUUUUGGUUCAAUGAACGUUUCUAAGAUUUCUUUCUUUACACGUUUAAGGGUAUUGAUUUUUCUUAGACGUGACAUUCAUUUCGGAUCGUGUCCAUUAUCUUAACUUA
This 270-nucleotide unclassified non-coding RNA is filed under the name Glomeraceae sp. RNAcentral's name for it is "partial contains 5.8S ribosomal RNA and internal transcribed spacer 2". The stretch from base 1 to 65 matches the Rfam family "5.8S ribosomal RNA", at positions 84 to 154 of the family's 154-position model. The record is from RNAcentral. Lineage: Eukaryota; Fungi; Glomeromycota; Glomeromycetes; Glomerales; Glomeraceae.